CACACAACGGGGGAGAACCACCAACGAGCAGGUACAACACACACACACACACAACGGGGGAGAACCACCAACGAACAGGUACAACACACACACACACACAACGGGGGAGAACCACCAACGAACAGGUACAACACACACACACACACAACGGGGGAGAACCACCAACGAACAGGUACAACACACACACACACAACGGGGGAGAACCACCAACGAACAGGUACAACACACACACACACAACGGGGGAGA
Oncorhynchus keta (chum salmon) is the source of this 247-nucleotide long non-coding RNA. RefSeq lists it as uncharacterized. The transcript has 3 exons. Lineage: Eukaryota; Metazoa; Chordata; Actinopteri; Salmoniformes; Salmonidae. The record is from RefSeq and is a predicted model, not a curated record.